Molecule: non-coding RNA, 27 nt
Filed under: Mus musculus (house mouse)
Lineage: Eukaryota; Metazoa; Chordata; Mammalia; Rodentia; Muridae
Source: RNAcentral
UCAAUCCUUUUCCUGUUUUAUCAGCUG